Molecule: ribosomal RNA, 586 nt
Filed under: Actinomycetales bacterium A226
Lineage: Bacteria; Bacillati; Actinomycetota; Actinomycetes; Actinomycetales
Description: bacterial SSU rRNA
Rfam family: Bacterial small subunit ribosomal RNA
Source: RNAcentral
CACUUCGGUGGGGAUUAGUGGCGAACGGGUGAGUAACACGUGGGCAAUCUGCCCUUCACUCUGGGACAAGCCCUGGAAACGGGGUCUAAUACCGGAUACAACACUCUCGGGCAUCCGAUGAGUGUGGAAAGCUCCGGCGGUGAAGGAUGAGCCCGCGGCCUAUCAGCUUGUUGGUGAGGUAACGGCUCACCAAGGCGACGACGGGUAGCCGGCCUGAGAGGGCGACCGGCCACACUGGGACUGAGACACGGCCCAGACUCCUACGGGAGGCAGCAGUGGGGAAUAUUGCACAAUGGGCGAAAGCCUGAUGCAGCGACGCCGCGUGAGGGAUGACGGCCUUCGGGUUGUAAACCUCUUUCAGCAGGGAAGAAGCGAAAGUGACGGUACCUGCAGAAGAAGCGCCGGCUAACUACGUGCCAGCAGCCGCGGUAAUACGUAGGGCGCGAGCGUUGUCCGGAAUUAUUGGGCGUAAAGAGCUCGUAGGCGGUCUGUCGCGUCGGAUGUGAAAGCCCGGGGCUUAACCCCGGGUCUGCAUUCGAUACGGGCAGACUAGAGUGUGGUAGGGGAGAUCGGAAUUCCUGGUGUA